Long non-coding RNA from Amphibalanus amphitrite, 136 nucleotides. RefSeq lists it as uncharacterized. The record is from RefSeq and is a predicted model, not a curated record. The transcript has 3 exons. Lineage: Eukaryota; Metazoa; Arthropoda; Thecostraca; Balanomorpha; Balanidae.
GAUUCUGAGCCCAAACCUGAAAAAGUAACCAUCGAGAGAAAGCCAGAACCUGAGACUGAAACCAGAACAGUCAUCAUCGAGAAAAAGCCAGAGCCUGAGUCCAAGCCAGAAGAAGUCGUUAUCAACAAACAGCCAG